This is a long non-coding RNA of Lepus europaeus (European hare), 547 nucleotides long. RefSeq lists it as uncharacterized. The transcript is spliced from 3 exons. The record is from RefSeq and is a predicted model, not a curated record. Lineage: Eukaryota; Metazoa; Chordata; Mammalia; Lagomorpha; Leporidae.
CAGUGGGGCCUUCUGGGGUAGUAAUCACUAAAAAACCUCAGGCUCUGCCCUAGUUUCUUUCUCAGUUAUGUUCACAGCCAGCCACGAAGGCUACAGCAGGCAAGUGUGCUAGCGUGAGGGAGCCGCUUUCGCUUUGUUUGGAAGAACAGCUCUUUCUGUGACAACAUGGUGUCACAUAUGGAUGUGAAAUGCACAAUUUGGAGAUUCCUUGGAAUGAAACCAAUGGGAGUCCAGGGUUUAGGAGAGUCUCAUCAGAGCAGAUGGGCCAGCGGCCGCCAGAAAGCUUGUUGCCUUUGGCUGGAGCACCGUCCUGGAAAUGAACGUCUUAACCUGAAGCAGCUGGCUGUAUUUCCAGGCCCACCCAGGUAUUCUACAUGACACCUUCACCGCUGCCUGCAUCCGGUUUCUCACAGUGAGACAACGAAGUCUCACUCCUGAGGUGACACUCAGUGUGGGAUCAGCCCCCAUACGGUUUCUCGAAGCACCUUCACACAUUGUUCCAUGUGACCCACAGUGGCUCAUCAAACUUGGGCGCCAGCCAAUUGGC